This 84-nucleotide ribosomal RNA is filed under the name Escherichia coli. Its description in RNAcentral is "partial 16S ribosomal RNA". It matches the Rfam family "Bacterial small subunit ribosomal RNA", at positions 1 to 82 of the family's 1533-position model. The record is from RNAcentral. Lineage: Bacteria; Pseudomonadati; Pseudomonadota; Gammaproteobacteria; Enterobacterales; Enterobacteriaceae.
UUAAAUUGAAGAGUUUGAUCAUGGCUCAGAUUGAACGCUGGCGGCAGGCCUAACACAUGCAAGUCGAACGGUAACAGAAAUCAG